UGUCAGUAGAUAUCCUGGCUCGUUUUUCUGC
Molecule: non-coding RNA, 31 nt
Filed under: Mus musculus (house mouse)
Lineage: Eukaryota; Metazoa; Chordata; Mammalia; Rodentia; Muridae
Source: RNAcentral